This 72-nucleotide transfer RNA is filed under the name Pseudomonadota bacterium. RNAcentral's name for it is "tRNA-Ala". It matches the Rfam family "tRNA". From Rfam's summary of the family: Transfer RNA (tRNA) molecules are approximately 80 nucleotides in length. Their secondary structure includes four short double-helical elements and three loops (D, anti-codon, and T loops). The record is from RNAcentral. Lineage: Bacteria; Pseudomonadati; Pseudomonadota. RNAcentral also lists the same sequence under 1 other name.
GGGGGUGUAGCUCAGUGGGAGAGCACUGCCCUCGCACGGCAGGGGACAGGGGUUCAAAUCCCCUCACCUCCA